Peromyscus eremicus (cactus mouse) is the source of this 845-nucleotide long non-coding RNA. RefSeq lists it as uncharacterized. NCBI's taxonomy places the organism in Eukaryota, Metazoa, Chordata, Mammalia, Rodentia, Cricetidae. The record is from RefSeq and is a predicted model, not a curated record. The transcript is spliced from 4 exons.
GCCGCCAUCACCACCACCACCAUCAUCAUCACUAUCAUUACCUCUCAAGUACUAGGCUAAAGGUUAGGGCUAAAAUCAAGAGUCACAUCAAGAGAUAGAAAACUCAACCCAAACAGGCUUAAGUAGAAGUGAAUUUAUUUGUUCACAGAAGGGGACUUUCCAUGGGUAGACCAAACUUCAGCUACUGUAAGAAAAGCCAUGCCUUACUCAGCUCUUUGGUCUCAAAAGAAGUAUGUGGGUCGAAUCUUCUUCAUUUAAACCAUGCUAACAUUGAUCAACACCCAUUUGCAUGAGCAAAAUUAGCCCUUGUCAAAAUACCACGAAGGCAACAAGGGCUCUCAACUGAAGAGCGUCUGGUGGCAAAGUUCCUUGAACAGUCCUGGAUGUGAGGGGUGCUGCUGGCUGCUAUGUAGAAGCAAAUAUUUCUACAGGGAGAUGCACAGAACCAACUCUGGAGGCUACAUCUCUGGCUACUGCUGAAGGAUUGGAUGCGAGGGAAAGGAUGGAGAAGAAUGAGACCUAACUGCUAGGAGUCUGUCCAUAGACACAGGAUGAUGGCCUUUACUAAGACUGAAAGAUUCAAGGAUGCUCGAGUUUGGUGCUGAGGUGGGAAGGAAGAAGGAAUGGCUUUGGGUCUUUCACUGAACUUGGAGCUUGCACUUUCAGCAAGGCUGGCUGGCUGGCCGGCGAGCUCCCAGGAUCUGCUUGACUCCACCUCCCCUUGCUUCCCAUCUCUGAUGUUACAGAUAAUCCUUAUGUGGAUUUUGAGAACCCAAAAUCAACUCAUUAUGCUCGGCACCAAGCAGUGUAACCACUGAACUGUUUCCCCUGCCCCUGCCCUAUAG